GCGGGAAUAACUCAAUGGUAGAGUGUUACCUUCCCAAGGUAAAGGUUGCGAGUUCGACUCUCGUUUCCCGCU
Molecule: transfer RNA, 72 nt
Filed under: Fibrobacter sp.
Lineage: Bacteria; Pseudomonadati; Fibrobacterota; Fibrobacteria; Fibrobacterales; Fibrobacteraceae
Also listed under: 1 other name
Description: tRNA-Gly
Rfam family: tRNA
About the family: Transfer RNA (tRNA) molecules are approximately 80 nucleotides in length. Their secondary structure includes four short double-helical elements and three loops (D, anti-codon, and T loops). Further hydrogen bonds mediate the characteristic L-shaped molecular structure. tRNAs have two regions of fundamental functional importance: the anti-codon, which is responsible for specific mRNA codon recognition, and the 3' end, to which the tRNAs corresponding amino acid is attached (by aminoacyl-tRNA synthetases). tRNAs cope with the degeneracy of the genetic code in two manners: having more than one tRNA (with a specific anti-codon) for a particular amino acid; and 'wobble' base-pairing, i.e. permitting non-standard base-pairing at the 3rd anti-codon position.
Source: RNAcentral